AACGAACGCUGGCGGCAUGCCUAACACAUGCAAGUCGAACGAACCCUUCGGGGUUAGUGGCGCACGGGUGCGUAACGCGUGGGAAUCUGCCCUUAGGUACGGAAUAACUCAGGGAAACUUGUGCUAAUACCGUAUGAUGACGAAAGUCCAAAGAUUUAUCGCCUAAGAAUGAGCCCGCGUAGGAUUAGCUUGUUGGUGAG
This 200-nucleotide ribosomal RNA is filed under the name uncultured bacterium. RNAcentral's name for it is "partial 16S ribosomal RNA". It matches the Rfam family "Bacterial small subunit ribosomal RNA", at positions 29 to 256 of the family's 1533-position model. The record is from RNAcentral.